Molecule: non-coding RNA, 17072 nt
Organism: Podarcis lilfordi (Lilford's wall lizard)
Lineage: Eukaryota; Metazoa; Chordata; Lepidosauria; Squamata; Lacertidae
Source: the annotation of a GenBank genome assembly
GCAGGGAGUUGGACUAGAUGACCUUCUAACCUUCUAACUGUAUGUUUCUACAUCAAGAUUCUUGAAAUGGGAAUUGGGAUAUGUUCAAACAAUAUAUCAUGUAGGGAAACUGUGCAAGCGCUUGAAAAUAGAAUUGAUGUAAAGUUUAAAGAUGAUGUGAGAAUGGCUAUUGAAAUGCAGCCAUACCUCAGGUUGAAGUAGCUUCGGGAUAAGUAUUUUCAGGUUGCGUGCUGUGGCAACCUGGACGUAAUGGAGCACAUUACUUCUGGGUUUUGCCACUUGUGCAUGCGCAGACGGUCAAAAUGUCACGUGCAUGCACGGAAGCAGUGAAUCACGACCUGCGCAUGCGCAGACGCGUGGACAUGGGUUGCGUUCGCUUCUGGAUGCGAACAGGGCUCUGGAACGGAUCCCGUUUGCAUCCAGAGGUACCACUGUAAAUACUACUUGUGGUUUAAUCUUAACACCACCUGAGAGUAUGCCCCAUUGAAUUCAAUAGGACUUAGUUCUCCAUAGACAUACUUACUAACAGUACAAUCCCAACCAUCCAGCUAAGCAACUGGUGUAGUGGUAUAUCUUAAUGAGAAGGAAGAUGACUGAAAAGAAAGUCAUUGCUAAUUUUACCAUUCUUCAUCCAUUAAUGAGAAAAGAAAAUGCAUUAGGAAAUUAACAAAAUGUAGAGGAAAUUUCAGUGACAUUCUCGUGGAGUGUGUGCGGAGUGUUUAUGUGCGGACUUUAAUGUUUAUGUUGGCAAGGUUUCUGUGUCCUUCCUUCCUUCCAUUCUAUAAGUUGCCUUUUCAGUGGUCCACACUUCCUGACAAUCUCAUGAUGCCCUCCCCCAGUUUGCUUUCCUGUAGGUGCAAGAAGCCAGGGAACGUACGUGCGGUGUGCCUGACAGCUGUUCAUUGUUAGAUUUUACAAUAAAGUCCUUUUAUUUUUUAAGACAUUUAAGAGGAAAAGGAAGGGCUUUGCUUUUUCAAAAGGUCACUGAGCACAGUAUUCUCAAGUGCUGAGUAGGCAGCUUCACUGACUUCGCACACUUCAAUUAAAGCAAACUAGAAGAUGUUGUGAGGUAACUCCUCCCACAGAGGUUUUUCAGAUCAGGCAGCCCUGCAGAGCACUGGAGAAAUAUUUCAUAAAAAGGAAGAAAACACAUCACCCUUGGUCACCCUGCAACACCCAGCCAACCUCAACCACGUACAUUUUAUAAAUUCUAAAAUGCCCUGUGAAUGAAGUAGAAAAACAGGAGCCUCUUUUGCAGAGGAAGAACAUUUUCAAGAAAUUAGUUGGCAGGUUUUGGCACGGCACUAGAAGAUAUAAAUCACUGAAUAGCAUUACGGUCCUGAUAUGAUACCUGCUGAAGGAAUUAUUCACCAAAUGAGCCCUCUUGUGCCAAAAGGUAUUUGGCAAUUGCCAUAUUCACCUAGCCAGAAUUAUGAAAUAUGCUUCUAAUCAACAGACCAAGCCAGCCUAUUGUUUCCUCCUUCGGGCAGUCAUUAUAUAUGGCGAGGAAAGAAAUCAGAAUGCUUCCUAAUGCUUGUCCCCUUGAUUAAUCUUUAAUUAACCGUUGAUUACUCCUUAAUAUAUUUUAAUUUAUAUUCCUUGAUUCCUUCUUUCAUUUUCCUGGAAAGGCAAAACCACUACUGAGAAAAACUUUGGCUUUCAUCUCCCUCUCUUUUUCAUCAUGUAGAUGCCCUUUGGUUAAAACAGUUUUUCAAAAGACAUGCAUUCUAUACAGAUAUAAGAGUUUUCCCCUAGGUGGUAUACUUUCAUCACUCACAAAAACUCAAAAUGAGUGGGCUAGAUCCUGUACUACCAGCCUAGGUCCAGUCCCCCAACCUCUUAUUUUUGACUUCAGUAUCACCCCAGUUUUAGCAAUGGUGGCAUCUAUGGUACCACCACCACAACAACAAAAAUACAGAAGUUGAAACUGAGCGUACUCGAGGCCUGUGUUCUUGGGAGUGGUUCCAAGAUGGAUGCGAGGUUAAAAGUUGUGUAAGAGAGACCAAGAGAUAAAACCAGCUCUUGUUAAUCUUGCUGAUGUAGCCUGCAUUUAUUAUGCAAGUCACAUGUCACUGUCUGGCACAGUUCCAAGGGCAAAUGACCCCAUUCUUCCAGAACUCCCACCCUGAACUGAGCAGAUCCGCAAAAGAAAGGAGUGCUCUGAUCUGCUCCGAUGUUACUGGACACUCAGGAAACAUCAUAACAGAUUGGAUUGCUCCUUCCUGUUUCUGAUAUGCUGUGAUCAGAAGGGGACUUUCUCCGCUUGUCAGUUCAGUCAUCUGAGGAGCAGGAAUGGCUGAAUCACCCUGCUCUCAGUUGAUCUGCAUGGAUCAGAUGCGGGGUGGAGGCUGUGUGGGUGUGACAGUGUGUGCGUCAUGUUGUGUUCUGUAUAUUUGCACCUGUGACCUGUGUGUGUUAUUGUUCAUACAAUAAUAAAUGUAUGUGUGGUGCAUGCAUGCACAAGUGUUUGUGUGUUUGUUUGUUUGUGUGUGUGUGUGUGUGUGUGUGUGUGUGUGUGUGAGAGAGAGAGAGAGAGAGAGAGAGAGGUGGCCACAAGCACUAUGGGCCUCAACUACUAGUCACUGGCAUGCAGUCCCAAGAAAAAUGUCCAAGGAUGAAUGAGGCCUUGGGCCAAAAGGUGAGCCAUUCCUGCUGUAAAGGGUAACACAGAUCAAUAAAGCUCUUCUAUAGCCACAGGCAUAUUUCUCUAGCAGUAUAUGUAUAUCUUGCUUUGAUGGGUGUACAUGUUUGGAGAGAGAUAAAUGUAAAUUAAAUGGGAAGUGUGAAGGCAAAACUAAAGUACUGGCCACCUCUCUCAUUUAUAUGGACUCGUUUGAUGAUUAUGGAUAAUCUUUUUACAAACCUUUUUCAGAAUAAGCCCCUAAAUAUUGGGGUGGGUUAUGUGUGUGUGUGUGACUUUUAUUUAUUGGUUCUCAAAAAGCAAAUGCAGUACUUCUUAGCUAUUAUUUCAAUUAUUUUUUUUAAAGGGUCAGGUAUUGAGCCAUGUGAAAUAAGGCAACACUAUAAUGCUUACUCGAAAUUGGCAAAAUAUUGCCGUUCAAAUUGUAAACAAUCACAAGAAUAAUCAUGCACCAGGCCACUAUACAAUAAAAUAUAGAACUCUGUAGUCUGAUGACAGGAUGAUGAACAGCUAGCCAUAUACAAGAGCUAUAUACUCAGAAAGCCAAGUCACUUGAAUUUAAGUUGAGGCAGUAGUCAUUUGAGCAUAAGUACUGAGCAGGCAUUUCCAAAACCUCUCCUUAUUCUCAAAUGCAUGCAGAACAGAACCCAUACAGGGGGAGGGGGAGAGAAAUAAGGUAAUGUUUACUGGAUGACAUUCUUAUAAAGACUCCACCUCCCUUUUAAAUGAUCUUUAAACUUACAGGUCCUUGGACAUGCGAGUGAAACACUCAGUCAUGAUCAAUAUAAAUGGAUCAUAAGCACUAUUGGAUCCUCUAGCAGCAAACUCUCUGAGUGGCAGAGUAAAUGGACCCCCAAAUGCUACCAUUAUUCUCAAAUGCAUCCUUAGGACCACAGCCUCUUCCUCAACAUUUGCCAUCUGGUUCACAUUUUAAGAGCAUACAAUGCACAGAGCCCUGAUCCAGCACUGCUCAUAUGCAGCCCUAAUUAGAAGGGCACUAAUCAGGAUAGGACGAUUCUGGGGUUGCGGCGCUCAUCUCGCUUUAUUGGCCGAGGGAGCCGGCAUACAGCUUCUGGGUCGUCCGCGACUGGACCUAAUGGUCAGGGGUCCCUUUACCUUUAAUCAGGAUAGGCUUGAGCGCAAACUACAAAAACUACUCAUAGUAUUUGCUGGCAUAUACCAGGGACUUCAGGGCUUGAACAAGUAAUCACAUGCCUUCAGACUGGCAUCUCAAGCUGUCAGAGGCACAUAUCUCAGUGGCAGAGGACAUGUUUUGCAUGCCAAAGGCUCCUGCCUGAAACCUUAGAGAGAGGCUGCCUGUCAGUGAGUAGAAAAUACAAAACUAGGAGGAACAAUGGUCUGAUUCAUUAUAAGGCAACUUCUUUCGUUCCUGUUUAAGCAGCAGUGCCUUUUAGAGAAGCUUGAUGUGCAGACAUUAGCAGAUACUAAAGUUUAUCACUACACCGUGAAAAGCUUCACCUGCUGAUUUCUGCAGCUUAAAAAGCUGUUAAAAGAACAACAGCAGGGCAAGGCAGUUUCUUUUUGGUGACUUGGCAACUCUACUAAUAUGCAUGUUAAUGAACAAAAUGGCACCCUGUGGGCUGAAGGCUCACAACCAUCUUCAGUUGGGAAAUGUAUGACAUUUCGGGAUAGGCCAGGCCUGCUAUAGGAUCCUGCCAUCUGACCUUGCUGGGUCUGCCUCUUACACAUGAGCCUCCAGUCCAUGAUGUCAAACCACUUGGCUCGAGAAUACACUUGUCAGGUCCAUACUCAGCAAGGCCUUGGGAACCCAGUCAAGCUAACUCUUAAACAUCUCUUGGCCAUCUGCAAGCAAUACUGGCAGUCCAACCUAUACACAUGAGUCCCAAUACAAGGGGGCCAAGAUGGGGACAAAGGGAAAAAACUUUGGGCCUACAGAGUUGAGAGUAUUAGUUCAGCCAUCUGAUGCAGAUGAAUAAACCAUUGUAAUAUGCACUCACUUAUUCAGCAGAAUGUACCCAACAAAUCUGGACUAUGCAGUAAUGUGUAAAGAGCUUCAAAUUUUAAAGAGUCAAGAAGACUGUGUAACAAUAGAAAAUAUAUAUACAUUGCCUUGAACUAAAUGUAUUUCUGUAAAUAUGCAUUACUCUAUGAAUGUUUAGCUUGGUUACAUCAGGUAGGCAUCCCUUGAACAAACAGAAACUGGUACAGCUGAGGCAGAGAAGCCAUUUUCUAGUGAGAAUUCAUGGGAUGCAUGAAUUAGGGUGGAGCUAACAGUGUGCAGCCAGAACCAGAGCCAAAACUGAUAGAGCCCAUGCCCUCUUGUAGUUACCAGGACAUGUCCCAGCUCCAAACCCCAGCAUGACCUCAUGCUUCAUCUUUGAAAUUCAGCACGAGGUCAGGGAUCAAAUGAAGCAUCUCUGCCAUCUCCUACCAACCACAGCUACAAAGGGCAGCAAAGGCAGGCCAGCUUUCUUUGUCUAUGCAUGUCCCCCAGGGAAGUAUUGUGAAAGGUCUGCCAAAGGACAAGUAAGCCUUAAGCACUUUAUUAUGCUCUCAGCAGAAAGUAUGCUUGCUGGCAAACAUCUUUUAACAAAUUAAAUGAUAGGUUCCCCAAAUACAAACAAGGAAGAAGUCGCUCAAGCAGGGCUACCUGUUUAAGUAUUAGAUUAUUAAUUAAUUAUAGUAAUAAGGAACAAUUUGGUUGAAUUGCGCAAAUGCCUGAUAAUUUCUGGUCUUAAUUUUAGAGAUUAUAAAUCACAUUUAUAGAUACUGUGGAGAUUUGUAAUUACCAGAGAUUGUAAUAUAUUUAUUCUGCAUUCAGCAAAAUAGGUUAGAUGGAAAAGAUUAAUUGAUUAAUAAACAUGAAUGCUGAUUCACCAGAUAGGCAAAUGGCUUGUCUAUUUAGUGAAUUAGUAUUCAUGGUUAUUAGUCAAUGUAUCUUCAUUAAAUACUCUGUACCAAAGUACACAUCUGUUUUGUCAUAUUCCAUGUACUUAAAUGCACUAUGUUCCCUACUGACAAAAUAGGGGUGGGUGUGCAGGAGGGGAACCCUAAAACCUUUUAUGCCCCAGGUUAUGACUCUGCAGCCCUCUCCUAAUGGAGCUUCCUCCCAGCUAAACAUGUACAGGAUAGCAGCCUUACAGUAAGAUGUCCCCGUUUUCUGGGGACAGGCCCCAGAUUUACAAACCAGUCCCUUGACAAAAUCCAUCUAUUUAGUAGGAAAUUGAAAAGUGUCCCCAGAUGCAUUGAAAAAAAUCUGGUAACCUUACCUUACAGCACAUUUCUAGCCAUGUUUACUUGGAUGCCCCACUGUAUUCGAUGUGUUUACUCCUAGGUGAGUACCAUCAAGAAAUCCUGGAGAGUCACUGGCAGUGUUAGAAACUGAGAUAUGAAAGCUAGGAGCUAAAUGGCACAUUAAACCUGAGUUAUGGGCACCGCAAUGGAGUUUCUAGGUGUGCUUUCUUUAUAACAAGGAUACAAAGCUGAAAAUGAAUGAACUGCAGCUAAAAUCUUAUGUUCACUUUUCACAUGGUCUAGUCCUCAUCUGAAGACUGCAAAAAACAAAGCCAUACCCCCCCUGCCCUCCCCUCUAAUAUUCUUAUGAGGGUCCCUUCUCCAGUCUUCAGAGAGUGGCUGGAAGUAGGGAGGCAGAAAAAGGUCCUUUCCUUCCAGCAGUGGCAGUUUUAAUCUGAAACCUUAGGCUCAGUACUGCACCCAGAGCUCAGAAACUGCUCACAUUAAUGAAAUUCUCUGUCGCAAAACGCACCUAGAACAAUGGGAGUUUCAAACGCUGGUCACUGCCAGUCAUUAUAGACAAUACUAAGCUAGAUAUACCAGUGACCUGACCCAACUUCCUAUGCUCCUACAUUCUAAUCCCUUGGAGGUAGCUGAAAGUUGUCAUAUUUCUCCUGCAUCUUAAUUCCCAGGAUAAAGAAAUCCAGUUUCUUCAUCUUACCUCUCACAGAAAUCUACUUUUUUGGUUCUGUUAUCAUUUUCGGUAGCUGCCCUUUGAAUCUGCUCCAGCCACAUCAUAAUGAAGCUUGUGAUUACCUUUUAAUGUGUCUGGAUCUCCUCCAGGACAUAAAACACAUUUCAAAUUAAGAUUCCUAUAUGAAGUGAGCUCAGCACAAAUAUGAGGUCUCGAUGAAACAUGAGAGCGCCUCCAUUUUCAUUCAAUUACACAGAAUGUAAAAAUGUCAUCACCGUGGGAUUCCUAUUCAUAGGGUUAAUGGUGGCAUAAAUCAUCAGCUGGAAGCUGGUAGGAGAACAGGGAAGAGAAUCAAAGGGGAAGAGGGAAAUCCUAUAGCAACAGCAGGCAGGAGUACAAGGAGGCAGCCUACGAGUUUGGUGUUGGUUUGGAUCUGAUUUUUGGGAUGCAAAUGGUCUUUCUAAAUUACAUCCCUUCUUGUGCCAAGAUUACCUUGGCACCAGUGCACCUUGAGCCUGAUAAUAAUGAAAGCCAGUCCUUGUCUGGCCCUGCUCUCCCUGGGUCUUUCAAAUAACAACAAAUCAGAGUUAACUAGAGCAUGCUGGUGAUAGAUUAGUUGCUAAACUAAAUGGUCUAGGGACCCCCAAAAUAAGGUCCAGACGCAGACUCAGUAUAAUUAAAGCACCGUAGACAGCCAAGGCAACUCACAUACCAUAUUGGAUGCUAUUUGUUUUGAUACCAGUUAGAAUGGUGACACAGAAUCAGCUUCGCCGGCGCUAUUAAUUUUCUGGUUCCAGAGGGUCAGAUGUGUAAUCGUGGAUAAUACAACACUCUGCACUUGCAGAUGUCACUACUCCAGCAGAAUGGGUUUUUUGUAAUGAACUGCUCUCCUUUUCCACCAGGAGAUGUUGGAGAGAGUCUUUCAAUGUCUUUCCCCCAAAGCCAUUACAUUGAAGAGAGAAUUUCAACAAGAGAGGAAAGGAGAAACAAAUUCACAGAUGAGUAGCUGAGUAAACAAAGCAUUAGUAAAUCUAACCAUUUUCAAAGACAUGGCUGUGCCUCCUGUUGUGGGAAAAGUAUAAGCAAUAACAUUUCCUUGUAAUGAAUUUAAUUCAUGGACCCGCUAGAGUGAGAAGUCUACAGAUAAAGGGUGGAUCCUGACAAUAUAUAUCUGCCUGCUAGGGCUUGCUGCGGCCUGGCACCAGCCCCUUGCAUAGCAAGCACAAACCAUAACUUGCAGCUUCAGAUGUAAUGGCAAACUAUGGUUUGUUUGAACUUUGAAAUUAGAGAAGGACUCAGAAUAUGGGGGUGGGGAUGGAAAGCGCAAGCCUGAAACUCAGACCCAACAGUGAAACUCUGGCAUGACUAGCCCACGGACAUUACAUGACAACAUGCCACUGACUUGCAAUUCAGAAGAAAGUAUCUCUUGUUUACGCUUACCUCUGAGAGAAGUUAAACUAAGCUGCUUUUGUUAACACCUCAAAGUCAAGACCAGGUAUGGUCACUCUGGGCAGCAUCAGAACUAUGUCAUCAUUCUUCCAUCACUUACGUGUCAUAAUGCUGCACUGCUGCUGCCUACGUUCUCUAAGCACAAGGUAGAACAUCUUAGCUUUGUCCAGUAUUUAUCAAAUUGUUCUGAACUCCUUUAACUUGCUCUUUGUUGACAGUCUCACCUGUUGUGCAUCUCCUUCAGCCUAAAUGCUUUCCUCCCAUUCUGACCUUAGGAGUUUACCCUGGUUUCAGCUCAAUUUUACCUACACCAACUCUCCAUAUUUCUGAGCAAAAAGGUAUUGAUGAUUACUAUUAAUUUAACCAUUAUUACCAGGCUAAGGGUGUUAUAUUAAGCAUCAGUGGAACUCAUGAAAUGAAUAACUAUGUCUCUCAACAGACAGUUUUUGUGGCAAGUGACACUGGGCAUAACUUGUUGGUGCUUUUUUUCUACUCCGCUUCUUCUUACAACUGGGUGAAUUUCUUUCUUUCUUUCUGUUUAGCCAAAUAUUUUUAGAGAAUUAAUUUGAUUCAGUGUUGGUAAUUUGUUCCGGCUUUCACGAUUUUAUAAUUUUAUGAUGUUUUAAGGAUUUUACUGUACACUGCCAUAAAAAGCAACCCUGAAAUGAAAUCCUCUUAUAAAUAAAUAAACCCUGGCUGUUUGGCUGCUGUGAGGCAUGGGGCUGCCACAGGGAAGGAGGUUCUCUGGUUGUGAAUACUGGGGUCCUCCAACUCCUGAGCUGCUUGUUACACACACACACACACACACACACUGUGUGUGUGUGUGUGUGUGUGUGUGUGUGUGUAUCAGGGGUGCCAACUUGAAUAAAAUACUGUGGGGCCCACGUAAGCCCUGCCACGCAUAAUCGAUCACAUGAUGCAGUACACACAUACCAUUUCAGUGGGAAUGCCUAUCAACUUUGUGGGGGCCCAGCCCCCGCAAAUAUUUUAUUGUGGGGGCCAAAGCCCCCACAGCCCCUAAGAGCUGGCUCCUAUGAUAUAUAUCCAGUACUUUUUUCCUUAAAAAAUGUUUGGGGUACUCUCAUUUUCCUACUCACAUUGAAAUACUGCCCCUCAAUGAGGCUAAACUUAGAUUCACAAAAUGUUUAGGGGUAUGCGUACCCCUGUCUACCCCCAGAAAAAGCCCUGUAUAAAUCAACCAUCAUCCAAACAAAAACCAAAUAAAUAAGGGCACCCAAGACUGCCUUGAUGUAAGAUCUAAAUAGCAGCCAAGCAGCUUACUCUCAUAUUUAAAAGAAAGGAGGAUUUAAACCUCGAAAUAAGUGCCUGCUUCCCAAACUUAUCAGUGCAGCUCCUUCUUCAUGUAAAUUGGGUAGGCGACAGAUAGUGUUAUCCCUAAUCCAGUCAGCCUUCUGCCAGCAGAGCCAUAUUUGAUGUAUUAGAUUAGCUAUAAAAGCAGCAGCUGCUCAUUCUGAUUUGUGGCAAGGGAAACUGAAGAGCUUUUGGCAUAGACAGGAGAAGGCCCUUAAAUAAAGCUCUUGUGGAGGUGAAUUUAGGAAAGGGCUCACAUCUGUUCUUACUUUGUGCGAAUUUGUCCAUGCUGUUUCACCAGAAAUUGCCAGAGCAACAAGGUGAUGUUUUCAAGUAGCUGAGUGUAGACAGAAAGAUUAAUCGAAGAGGCUUUAUCUUUAGGAGUACUCAGUGGGGGCUUUGUUCGGCUCACAGAGAAUGCAGGGGCGCUCAUUACCAUUUCAUCGUCUCUUCUCAUUGCCUAUAGUCUUUGGUCCAUACUUUAAUCACUAUAAUUAUCUAUUUUAUCAUCCUGUGUACCAGUUUCUGUUGUUGGGCAAUUAGCACAGAAGCGUAUCCUCCAUACACAGAUCUCUCCCCUCAGCCUCCUCUACAGUAGCCUCUCGGCAAAUAGGAAGUGCUGGUGGUGGUGUCCUCCCACCACUAGGGAGAAAAUGGCGGGAGCUGCCCUCUGGGGCCUCCUGGGCUCUGAACCUGCCCAAUGUGAUUCCCCACCCCACAGCAGCCUUUGAUUCCUCACCUUGUUCCCAAUGUAGAUUUUUCACGCACCCCUUGUUCCUGAUACAGAUCUUUAUUUCCCUCUUGUUCCCCACCCCAUCUUUCUAGGCCAGGGGAGGACACCAUUUUGUGGUUCACCUUAGGUGCCAAAAUGUCUUGGGCUGGCCUUGGGGUGCGCACUGGAGCAAAGAUCACUGUAGCUAUUACAGAAUAUCUGAUUCAGAGGAAGGAACAGAUGUCUCUCUCCCUGCCCCCCUUACAAAUGGACAGAAUUCUCCUAGUGAAUACCAUCCUCUAUUGCAGUUGGUGGCAAAGUCCGGGGGGGGGGAAGAGUUACUAGGCAGAGUCUGGGAUUGGACUUUUCCUGUUGAAUGUGCAUAUGGUAUUCCCUACUAGCCUUGUCUCUGUUCAGCCUGCCCAUGUAACCAAAGGAGUGAAAGCACAAGAAGCCAAUUGCCAUCAAUGGUCAUUGCAAAUUGUGUGCAAUUUUCACUAUACAAUCUUAAUAUCAUUGCUUAUAGCAAUUAUCUGAUUCAUCGUUUACAUCCACAUUAACUGAAAGAUUCACUAACUAUACAGUACAGAAAAUGCACUGUGCUCACAGUACUGCCCUGGAAAGCAUGGAAAUCGUACAUGUUGCCAUAAUACAUAAGAAUACAUAUCAGAUAUCUUAGCAAGAAUCACCAUGGCUUGGAGCAAUGCACCAAGCACGGCAAUGACCCUUCCUUAUUUCAUUAAGUUUGCCAUUUUGUAUUAUUCAAUCUAUUAUGUUCAUUACGUAUAUGCAGUGCACAUCUAAUGAGUCCAGUCCAUUUUCUCUCAAAAUGAAAAAUUAUAUUGACUCCCCUACAAUCAAUGACCCCAUUGCGCCUUGGAGCAUAUUGAAACCAAAUUGGAUCCUUAGCACAAAGACUAAGUGUUGAUGCUGAAGUAUAAGGAGAGGGAACACAGAGGCUGUUUUGUGGGUGGGGGGAAAAGUCAUACUAUUAAUAUUCAAUAACUUGGGAUUAGAGCCAGUGAAAUUGAUUAACAGCUUUUAAAAAUGGAGCAGCAAGCACAGCUGGUGCUAAGAUAUUACAGUGUUUGGCAUCGUAUAAAUGGCGAGUCAGAUAUUCAAGGAUCUUUUAAGAUCUUGGAAAGGGUAAGUAUGCCAACAGAUAACACCACGUGUGUUUUAAAAUUAUAGUAGGUAUUCUCAUAGCAACUGAAGUCAAUUAACCUCUGUUCUUUUCCCCUGCACUUUAAAUUUAAAAGAAAUGAAUGGGUAUUUUUUGUUCUCCUUUUACAAUAAUUGAAAAACCCUAUCCUGCCGAGAUAUAUAGUACAUAUGCAAUGAGUUUUAGCUCAAUGAAAAUUUUUAUAGCCAAGCUUUAGAGUCCUGAAAAUAUGAGUUUACUGGGGAAAUGCUGACACAACUGUUAAGUGUAAUGGAGUGAGCCAUGCUGCCAUAAUUUCUGAUACAAUCUUAUUGAUAUGGGUAGUAGGGAGACUAAAGACACUGCCAAUCAUUUUAUAGGGGUGUGUGUGUAAAAUUACUGUGAUAUUUGGGAGAUUAAAUCCUCAGGUGCUUCUUUUUUUUCUGUAUUAAGCAUUAAAGGCUAAAAAAUUCUCUCUCUCUCUCUCUCUCUCUCUGUGUGUGUGUGUGUGUGUGUGUGUGUGUACACACAUACAUCUCUCCCCCCCCCCAUGUUGUGGUGUCAUCCUGACAAUGACAAAAAAGCAAUACAUUUUGUGCUACAAGCAAGGAGGAGCAAGUGAUAAAAUCUUCCUUGGAUAAUAUUUAUUUCAAAGAUGCCCUGAGCACAUGCUGGGAUUAAAUUGGAAGUGAAUUGAUUAGAAUAUAAAUAUGGCUUCAAAACUGUGCGCUAAUAUUCAGUUUUAUAUUCAUGGAAAUAUAAGAGUUGGUGAGGAAAAAACCCAUCUCAAAAUUAUCCAGAAAGUUUCCACAGUGCAGGAUUAUAUAUAUAUAUAUACACAUACACACACACACACACACACACACACACACAUAUAUAUAUAUAUAUAUAUAUAUAAUGUGUGUGUGUGCGCGCGCACGCAGCAGGGUAUCAACUAGCCCUGGGCAAUCUUGACAGGCAGCUGCCGAACUAGCCUUGAUCUUGAAACUUGGCUAUCACUCUUCCUUUCUUGAGGCAAAAUCAGAAAAUUGCCUCAGAUCUUCAAACUGCACAGAACUAAUGACGAAUCCACCAAAUCUGAGUCCAUAUGCCAUCUACAUCUAAGUUUUAAAAUGACAAGAGUAGCUGUACUCUGUCACUCAUUUCUCUGGUCCAGGGAAAUUUGACACUUUCUACCAUCCUACAUACUUCAAUCAUCUUUAAACUAUUUGCAUCUGAACAGAGAUUAUUGUUUAUAAUAGAGCUGCUAACCUGUGACCCAUGGCAGGCCCUAAAAGGGGGUUUUUUGUGGAUGGGUGUCUCCCAAUAUCCCAUUCAAAAUUUGUCAUUAAAAAAUAAUAAUAUUGUAAUUAUUGACUGCCCUUGUGGAUUCUCCACUGUGAUGUCAUGAUGGCAAACGCUUUUUGCCCCCCUUUCCCUUAUCCCUUAUAAAGCACAUUCAGCUCUAAUUCCUUUCCUUUCAUUUCCUUGCUUACCAUAAACUAUGCUUGAAUACUUAUAUUACCAGAGUAGCUGUUUAUAAACCAAGAAGCUGGCAUGGCUAGCUGUCUGAACAACUGUCUGUGCUUGGAUCCACCAUUACACAGAGGGUGCAUGGAACUCUGGCUGCAUUUUCUCCAGUCACAAGGUCAACACCCAAGAAGAUGGACCUGGAGCUGAGAGAGGGAGGCUGUCUAUCUAGUCCUCUCUUUCUGGUCCAGGCCACACCCCUCACCAGCUUUACUUUACAUCCUUCUUGAGUGUUUUCCCCUGGUGGGAAUGUCUCCUUGAACUCUGAUCACGAGCUGCUGGGAAUUGUAGCUCUGUGAGGGUUAAACGACAGUUCCCCACUACAAUUUUGUAUCUCAACUAACAAAACAAUGUUUCGGGUGAGAGUGUUGCCAUUAUUCCUCUUUCUAGCAUUUGCAGAAAAUCCGACCGCCUCCUUUUUGCCCCCAACUGCACUUUCUGUGAACCUCAUAAUGUUUUUUUCUCCUUUCUCAUAUGAAAACUACCUUCAAAAGACUGGAGAAGUCACAGUCAACAGAGCGCCUGAAAUGCUGACUGAUUUCAAGCUACUAUUUAAAUGAAAUUAAUUCAUGGAGGGGAAACUUGAGGAAUAUGUGCUCAGAAUUUAAAGGUAAGCCUUUGUUUUCAUACCCUUUCUGUCACUACGCACAUGCAGAAACACAUUUCCAGAUACAAUUCUGUGACCAUUUCUGAACUACAUCCAAUUGCUUCCUGAAGCCUGAGAGUUAGCCCAGGUACCUGUACAUGAAAAGUAUUUUAAAUCUCCACUCAAAGAGUUAUACAAUUGCUUGCCCCAAGGAGAGAUGGCAAAGACUUGCAUUUGAGCAACAUUCUUCACAGAAUACCAGGCUUGUCAGAGGAUUACAGUGUAGCUGAUGCUUUAAAUUUCAGAUGCUCCCUUGGUAUUCGCCUUCACAACAGUCUGAAUUUUCCAGAAGCUUGCUGACAUAAUUUUGCACGUUAUUUGAAUGAGAGCUCUCCCGGGAGACUCACAAUGAAGAAAGAAACUUUCUCUGCUUCUCAUAAAUCCUCAUUUUUGCCUUAUUCCACUUGUGAUUUGUUUUUGUUUUGUUUUGCUUUUUUAAAACAAAAAACUGUAAAUAGCCCAAUUUACACAUUAUAGUCAGGAAUGAGAACAACACAUUUAGCAAGAAUUGAACCUGAAGAGAAGUAAUUAGUGCUGUGAUCAAAAAUUUCUUCUGCUCCCCCACUCAGGCCGACUAUUUCCCAUCAAUUAAGAAGAAAAGAAAUUGCAUCAGAAAACGAGCAAAGGGGAAAUGAUUUAUUUUUUAUGCAAAAUUCUCCUGGGUGGGUGGUGGUGAGGUUUUGUGCUUACCUUACUUUUGAGGUGACUGGAGGAUUUUGUCCUUCCUUUCGUUCUACAAAUCACCUCCCCAGUGGGUUGCAUUCUGCAGCCUCCCUGCAUGCCCAUGGUUCUUGAAAACUCCAUGGUAUCCUUUGCUGCCCUUGCUUGUAAGCGUAGGAAUGCAGGGACACGGCAGACUCUGCACCUGACAGCUCCUCGUUGUUACUUUUUAAAAGUAAAAUCUCUCUACUUUUAAAUAGAUCUUUCUGGAAAGACUUUUCAGAGGUAAAAGGAAGGACUCCCUUAAGAGGAAGAUCAGAGAGUUCUGACGAAAACAAAAAUGGGAGUUGACGAUCACUUAUUUGUCCCAUGCCUCAAAGGGAAAUAAAUCCAUUGAAUACAGUCAGUAUAAAUAAAACUGCCAUUGUUGCAUUCAGUCCACAAAUGAUACAUUUUUCUUGACCAAUUUUCAGUGUCUUUUCUUGUACACUGAAAUAAAUGUGCUGGAAUGACAUUGUUGGCAUUUGUCUGUCUCGAAAGGCAACGGAGUGUGCCUCCAGGGCUGAAGUCCAACUGCUGAGUUAGCAGCACCAAAUUGACCCCCCUGGGAUGCAAGCCUGGGUAGUGUGUAUGGAGGUCCUGGGCUGCCCAGAUGACAAGACCACCCCCCUCUUGGCCUUGCUGAUGCAGCCCAAAGCAAAGUAGAGUAAUAUGCUUGGCACCAGCUUGGCUGCAGGAGUUGCCGGAAGAAGGUAUACAAGGCACCAUUCAACUGUCCUAGGGACUCCACUCUGGAUUUGUCUAAGGUUCACUCCUUAGCUUUUUCUUCUCCAGAAGAUGUUCUGCAAGGCACUGGAGGUUUGGGACCAAAGUUUUCCUUCUCCUAGAUGGGCCACUUUCCCAGGUUGAUGAGCCCAUCUGCCCCUCACUUUCCUCUACAGCACAUGCAGUUGGACCCACUAUUGGUCAUGUCUGCUCAAUCGCCGGAGUCUGACUUUGCGUGCAGGGGAAAUCUCUACCUCCCCGAGGGCUGACACCCAUUGGCUACCCUCACCUGGUUCAGCCAGCCAGCCAGAAAACCAUUCCUAGGGUGUGGCCACUGUCAUAUUCUGACAGAUUUGAGGAGGCACAGGUGAGGGAAUAAUAUAUUGGCAACGUAAUUACUUAAGUCAAUUACAUUCCCACCACUCCUCUGCAUCCAGCCAGUCCAUGACAGCCUUCCAUCAGAGGACUGGGGAAUGUAGAAUGGGGAAGAAAAGUUUCCACACCACCCUCGGCCAUCUCACAAAAAUAAGACAAGCUCAAUCAUCAUUUCCCCCCAACUCUAAAGAAAUUGUUAAGGGCCCUGAGAAGGAGAAAGAAAAAUUGAGGCCUUUUUAUAGGGUAAGUUUUCAAGAAAUUGUAGUGCAGCUAUCAGCACAGAACUAGAAAUAACUAGAAAUAGGCAACUAUUUCUAGAACUUUCAUUAAAAUAGAUGAGUAUUUCAUUACCAGCUUUACUGGAGCAUAGGCAUCUGCUCACAUAAUUUUGUCAGGAACUGUUCAUGUCCACACUUGGGGGGGGGGGGGAGGUCUUAUGCAAUCCAUUUGCUUCCAAUUCUGAUGCUGCCCCUAGACAGCCAUUAUCCUUUGUGCCCAUCACAACCACCAGGUACCAUAACAAAGAUUUCAUAUUCUUAAAAGCAAAUUAAAAGUCCUGGGAGCUGAACAGCUGUCUGUUUCUGAUUAGAGUAUAGCUUCAGGGGAUUUAUAGUGGGCAAACAGACAAGAGGGAGAGUUAAAGUCUUUCCCCACAGCACUACAGCCCUGAUCUGAUUCCCCUCCCCACAGGGCUGCUAUUAUUAUUUUUCGAAAUGUGAGUGAUCUUGAUUGUGCAUCUUUAGCUUUGCUUCUCCUUUUGUCCUUAAUAAGCUACUCAUUCAAACCAUUUUUUUGCCCAGCUGCAGGCCUACAUGACAGAAAGAGUUGACUUCCAAUCUUGGCAAGAGGUUUCUUCCUCGUAGCAGAUGGCUUAGGUGAUCAAAGUAGAUUCUCUUAAGGCACUGAUAUGUCUGCUCUCAAUACCUGCCAGGACUGCCGGAUCAAAACUGUUUUAACUGGCAACCUGUACUUGUGUCACUACUACAUUCAUGCAUACCACAUGUAGAGUGUUUGCUUCUAACUCUACAGGACAGUUAGCGGGGGAAAAGUAAAAAGAAAAAAACAAAAAAAAACACACCAGCACACAUAGAAAAUGCUGUGUGAAGUUUGAAGGGGAAGAAGCAGUCUUCCUGCUGGGAGAUGGCUGAGAGCGCUGUCAGCCUGUGGCAAGGUUUCUGUUUCUGUGUCUGUCAAAAAGACUUCUGAGAGUGAAAAGUAAUGACAUAAGAUUUCUUCAGUGUUUAUUCGUUCUGUUAGGGUAGUUUUCUGUGAAAUUAAAUUAGUAAAACUUAAUUCAUGAUUCUCUGUGAACACCUACAAAAUGGAUCAGGAUUUGCUAAGUGGUUCCUCCCUCUGGUUCAUGGGAGCACUCAUCCUGCACAAAAAGUUGGGGGGAUACCAUGACCUUCAGUGAGGUGUUGGAUAGCUUUAUCUGUCUAAGCAAUCCUGUCCAUAAUCAGGCAGGUUCCUUGUCAUAUACUGUCCAGGCAUCUCCUGAUAUGAUGUGGGGCCACUGCAUUGAUCAGCUGCAAACUCAGAGUUGACACUAAGAAAGGCUGCUGAAAUAACAUCCAGAACAGUCUGUGUUAUCUCCAUCGAGAAGCUGACACCACCAUGGACCACAAAGUGGUUUUGUUGAACACCCAGUUUCCUCUAAUGUGCCACAGCUAGAGGACUGCGCAGACCCUGGCAGACUACAAAGCAGUGUGCAGGAAGAUAAGCAGCACUAUCCAGAACAAAAAUGCAUGCAAGCUGGGAGACUUGAUUUGUGCUCCUGCACCUCUGUGGUUAUUCAUCAAUACUUUCAGAUACAAUUUUGUUUCUAGUGUUUAAUCUUGAAGGAAGGGUAAUCUAAGCGAAUCUGCACUUAAUAUCUGGUUGUGUUGAACCUACUGUUCUAUUGUUAUCUUCUAGUUUUAAAUGAAUGAAAAUCCUCAGUUGUGAACCCAGCUC